UGGGGAAUUUUGGACAAUUGGGCGAAAGCCUGAUCCAGCAAUGCCGCGUGUGUGAAGAAGGCCUUCGGGUUGUAAAGCACUUUUGUCCGGAAAGAAAUCCUUGGCUCUAAUACAGUCGGGGGAUGACGGUACCGGAAGAAUAAGCACCGGCUAACUACGUGCCAGCAGCCGCGGUAAUACGUAGGGUGCAAGCGUUAAUCGGAAUUACUGGGCGUAAAGCGUGCGCAGGCGGUUUGCUAAGACCGAUGUGAAAUCCCCGGGCUCAACCUGGGAACUGCAUUGGUGACUGGCAGGCUAGAGUAUGGCAGAGGGGGGUAGAAUUCCACGUGUAGCAGUGAAAUGCGUAGAGAUGUGGAGGAAUACCGAUGGCGAAGGCAGCCCCCUGGGCCAAGUACUGACGCUCAUGCACGAAAGCGUGGGGAGCAAACNGGAUUAAUNCCCUGGUAGUCCACGCCCUAAANGAUGUCAACUAGUUGUUGGGGAUUCAUUUUCCUUAGUAACGUAGCUAACGCGUG
RNAcentral lists this ribosomal RNA (515 nucleotides) under uncultured bacterium. RNAcentral describes it as "partial 16S ribosomal RNA". It matches the Rfam family "Bacterial small subunit ribosomal RNA", at positions 355 to 861 of the family's 1533-position model. The record is from RNAcentral.